This 492-nucleotide ribosomal RNA is filed under the name uncultured bacterium. RNAcentral describes it as "partial 16S ribosomal RNA". It matches the Rfam family "Bacterial small subunit ribosomal RNA", at positions 29 to 507 of the family's 1533-position model. The record is from RNAcentral.
AGUGAACGCUGGCGGUAGGCCUAACACAUGCGAGUCGAACGGCAGCACAGUAAGAGCUUGCUCUUACGGGUGGCGAGUGGCGGACGGGUGAGGAAUACAUCGGAAUCUACUUUUUCGUGGGGGAUAACGUAGGGAAACUUACGCUAAUACCGCAUACGACCUACGGGUGAAAGCAGGGGAUCUUCGGACCUUGCGCGAUUGAAUGAGCCGAUGUCGGAUUAGCUAGUUGGCGGGGUAAAGGCCCACCAAGGCGACGAUCCGUAGCUGGUCUGAGAGGAUGAUCAGCCACACUGGAACUGAGACACGGUCCAGACUCCUACGGGAGGCAGCAGUGGGGAAUAUAGGACAAUGGGCGCAAGCCUGAUCCAGCCAUACCGCGUGGGUGAAGAAGGCCUUCGGGUUGUAAAGCCCUUUUGUUGGGAAAGAAAAGCAGCAGGUUAAUACCCCGCUGUUCUGACGGUACCCAAAGAAUAAGCACCGGCUAACUUCGUG